CCAGACUCCUACGGGAGGCAGCAGUGAGGAAUAUUGGUCAAUGGGCGAGAGCCUGAACCAGCCAAGUCGCGUGAGGGAAGACGGUCCUAUGGAUUGUAAACCUCUUUUGUCGGGGAGCAAAAAGGCCUCGUGAGGCCACAAGUGAGAGUACCCGAAGAAAAAGCAUCGGCUAACUCCGUGCCAGCAGCCGCGGUAAUACGGAGGAUGCGAGCGUUAUUCGGAUUUAUUGGGUUUAAAGGGUGCGUAGGUGGUUAAUUAAGUCAGCGGUGAAAGUUUGUGGCUCAACCAUAAAAUUGCCGUUGAAACUGGUUGACUUGAGUAUAUUUGAGGUAGGCGGAAUGCGUGGUGUAGCGGUGAAAUGCAUAGAUAUCACGCAGAACUCCGAUUGCGAAGGCAGCUUACUAAACUAUAACUGACACUGAAGCACGAAAGCGUGGGGAUCAAACAGGAUUAGAUACCCUCGUAG
RNAcentral lists this ribosomal RNA (466 nucleotides) under uncultured bacterium. RNAcentral's name for it is "bacterial SSU rRNA". It matches the Rfam family "Bacterial small subunit ribosomal RNA", at positions 331 to 793 of the family's 1533-position model. The record is from RNAcentral.